Oenanthe melanoleuca is the source of this 3431-nucleotide long non-coding RNA. RefSeq lists it as uncharacterized. Lineage: Eukaryota; Metazoa; Chordata; Aves; Passeriformes; Muscicapidae. The transcript is spliced from 4 exons. The record is from RefSeq and is a predicted model, not a curated record.
CUGGCUGGGUCACACGGGUUGCUCUUGGCCCACCACCCACCGACUUACCGAGCACCAUGUGGGCUUUGCUCCCUGCAGUCAUGCCCCAAGGCCCGAGGGAUGCCCUGAAACCUAAAAAAUUACAUCACACUUUUGGCAAACUGCUGUUCCAGCAUUUUCUUGUCAUAUGUCUUUGCAGAUUUUUGUUCUUUAUAAUGGAAAAAAUAUGUUCUAAUAAAAUACUAAUUUCAAAAAGAAUAUAUGAAGAUUGUUAUGAAGUAGCCUCCUCCUUUCUGCACCAAGCCAUGCUGCAUCUGGGAAGCAAAGGGACGAUUUCUACCCACAGUGCCACAAUUUUCCCUCUUUCAUCGUAGCUCUCCACAAGUCAUUUGCUCCAAUUCAGCCAGAGUCUAGUGCUUAAAUUUCUGGACGGAAUAAGGCUCCAGCACACCAAAAUUUCCCCCCUGGACUCUGUAAAUACAACAGCAGGAAGAAGCUACUUUUUGUCCCUUUGGGCCAGGAGGACAUGACAAACAUCAGCAUGGAUGUGUUCCUGAAGACCAAACUGCUUUCUGUAAGUCUGCUCACAGACUUCAUAGUCCAUCUGUUUUCUGUAAAAUGCAGUUAUUUACAGCAAAGUUCACUUCACAGUACAGUAGCUGCUGUUUAUGUUGCUAUUUCUGAUGAGGCUAAAUAUUGUCUAUUUUUCAUUAUAUCUCAAUGCUGCCUUUAAUUGCCUCUUUCCAGCAAUUUUACAUAUUGUCCCUCCCGGCUGUUCACACACAGACUUCCCCUUACUUGGCAAUCUUCCAGUCAUUCUGUACUACAGAAGUACUAAAACAGCAGAGCAGUUGAUGACAGUUAAAAUAAAACUACAUUAUGUUGUACUACACGGCCUAGAGAUGAGUGAGCAGUUGGACAACAGAGCAUCCAAGAUGCAUUAGAAGUUCUCUUCCUUCUCUUGACUGUUCAUUUUAUACAAAAAAAGGUGGUAGAGGCUUAACAAAUGUAUCUUGAAAUGUUAUCUAAUGUCUUUAUUUAUCUCUACUCCAGGGGAGAGUAUGUUGGAACUAUGGAUUCUCUCAAAUAACAAACAAAUUGCUCUCACAGGAAUCAACUCCAUAACUCUGACACUUGAGACAUGGGGAAGCAGAGACAUUCCCUGGAGAUCCACUGGGCUCAUUAACACAGCCAGGCUGACUCAGCAGUACAUCUACGUGUGCCAAACUGCAAAGAUACAAGGAAGCUUAAUGGUUUUAAUGUGGUAUUCAGCAUAAACACACACCUAUUUCCUAAAUAGGUACAUUCCUAAUAUAAGGAAUCCAGUGUCUUGCUGUUUAAUGCACCCAGACCCCACUGCUCUGUCAUUGCCAGUGGCUGCUGGUGUCCAGUAACUCAGGGAAACCAGCAGUGUGGGGCUGUGUCCCACAGAAGAGCUGCUUUGGUUUCCUCUUCAUCCUCUUCACCUCACUUGGGUACAGAGGAAGCCCUCGGGCUCCUGGCAGGCUGCCAGUGUAAAUCCAGCACAGCUGGCUUGAGUGGAGUGUAAGGCCUCAAUAUUGCAUUUCAAACACGGAUUAGUAAAGCAGGUGAUUGAAAACAAAUAAAAAGGUGUUUGUUUAGCUUAUGGAAAUUGUGGAAAAGAAAACAGCUCCAGCAGUCCUAAGCUGGAAAUGCUACAGCAGUCAGGUACAUCAGAUUCUUCUGAAUGAACUUCCCUCCCUCCACCUUCAGAUGCAAGGAUGAAGCUCAAACAAGCAGCUGAAAUUCAACUCAACAGAAAGCCAUCCAAAAGGGCUGUCCUGGGUUGGUGUUGUGUCUGCUCCUCUCCCGCCCCCACACCUCUCUGUCUGCAUGGAGCUGCCGCCAGUGCCCUUCUCCCCCCCGGGGGCGUGGGGCCCCGGGGCUGUGCUGCUUGCUGCCCGCUUGCUUCUGCCCCGCUACUUCUGCGGCUGCUGCCUUCCCCUCCCCCUUCUCUCCUUCAGCUCAAAGAUCUGUACCGGCUCCGGAUGGGACCUGGACAUCAGAGACUGCCUCCGGAGCCUGCCCAAGAAGCUUCUCGCCCUUCCCAGCAGCGACCGUCUCUCACUUUGGUGAAAACGUUUUUUGUCAUCUGGGAUUGUACUUUCCUGUUGCUGGGAAGUGUUUUUCUUGUGUUUGUUAAUAAAUAGGUUUUUUCCAUUUUUUUCCCCCGAGUAAAAUUCUUUCCGAGCCCAGUGGGGGGAGGAAUUGUGAGGGGGGCUUAUUCUCUGGGGGCUCCUUUGGAGGCUUCCCCCCCAGUUUUGUCCUAAACUUGGACAAGGGCCAAGAGCAAGGAUUCAUGCAGUAAAGUAAAUACCUGGAGAUGGAAAAAUAUACAUUUUUCCUCCCACGUAUUUUGGAAUUAUUGUGCCAGGAAAUUAUUAAAUCAUACAAGUUUCAGUAAUGAACGUAUUGCUUGGAUGGCAUGAGAAAUUACUGAGGGAUAUAGCUAAGGAAAAUAACUUUCCAAAGUCAGUGAUGAAAGAGCACCAUUUCUCAUAGGUGGAUACUGUGUGAAUUGAAAGGAUGUAAGAGCAAGGAAGAAAUUGGAAAAAACAUUGGAAAUGUUCAGUGAUAACUGAUUCAAUAAAUUGUCUAAAUGUAGGGAGAGAUUAGAAGUCAGGAAUAAAAAAAUCAGACUUUACCCAGUUUACAAAAUACAUAAUGUCAGUAAGAAUUUUUUUGGAGUAAAAUCAAAGGAAGACAAAUUGUGUAAUUCUUCCCAACUGCCCUAACAUGUUAGAUCUGAAAUGAUGAACUCUUUUGGGCAGUGGUUCUCACUCUAGGGCUGUCAGCACCUAACGUACCCAUUCCUAACUCUCACCUUUCUACACUGGAGGGUUAAUAUCCACAUGGUAAGUGGCACGUGCAUGGGUUUUGUGGCACACUCCAUACUCUUGCUGCCCUUGCUGACCCUGGCAGGCUGUGAGACCCCAGGCCUGGCCAAAGGUUUGUUCAAGUAACAGAAUGUCAGCAGGUCUUCAGAAUACUGGCCUGUGGUAGAGCUCAGCACUGGCCAGUGACUGCUGUCCAUUAACAGAGAGAGCAGAUUUACAGUUAAUGUGGAGGAAAAAGGAGUCAUCUUGCAAGGAGAUGCCAAGGAAGCCCACUGUUUUUCACAAAAUAGCCACAGCUGGAGCUGGAAGCAUUUUCUAAAAGGUUCUGCCAAGCAACAGCAAAGUCACAGUCCAUCUAGACUUUUUACAGUGGAGGCAGGGCUGCACAGUCACUAUACUUAGUAAACAGUGCCUGGCAUUCAGGGAUCUUCCUGAUGUGGUAGCCUGUUUAUUCUGGGGGCACCUCCCUGCUUGCUUUCAACUAAACCCUACCAAUCCUUCAGUUCUAGCCCCAAUGGGGUUGUGCUUCAUAUUUUCCUAGUUUGGGAAUUUGUAAUAAAUUUGCUUGGAAGCAAACAAACCAACCAACCUACC